GUAGAAGAAUUGGUACUCACUCUCACCAGACUAUUCCCUUAAAGUGGGAGGUCAAGGGUUCGAGCAGUGGGGGAGGCGACCUAAUUCCCAGAGGAAGGAAUUGGGCCAAAUCCACUCGGGCUAGGGCGGGCCGUACUGGCUCCCCCGAGGGACAAAUCCUGCCCGGAACCCGUGAGGGUGAAGGGAUGUUAAGAGCUGCUCACAGUGGCCGCCCCCAGGAGGUGUAACGGGCUGUGAGCGGUAACAGGGCCGGUCGUACGGGGCCGGGCUGUUACA
This 276-nucleotide long non-coding RNA is filed under the name Manihot esculenta (cassava). RNAcentral describes it as "long non-coding RNA (MESC_LNC010051)". The record is from RNAcentral. Lineage: Eukaryota; Viridiplantae; Streptophyta; Magnoliopsida; Malpighiales; Euphorbiaceae.